UUCCUACGGAGGCAGCAGUGGGGAAUAUUGCACAAUGGGCGAAAGCCUGAUGCAGCGACGCCGCGUGAGGGAUGACGGCCUUCGGGUUGUAAACCUCUUUCAGCAGGGAAGAAGCGAGAGUGACGGUACCUGCAGAAGAAGCGCCGGCUAACUACGUGCCAGCAGCCGCGGUAAUACGUAGGGCGCAAGCGUUGUCCGGAAUUAUUGGGCGUAAAGAGCUCGUAGGCGGCUUGUCGCGUCGGUUGUGAAAGCCCGGGGCUUAACCCCGGGUCUGCAGUCGAUACGGGCAGGCUAGAGUUCGGUAGGGGAGAUCGGAAUUCCUGGUGUAGCGGUGAAAUGCGCAGAUAUCAGGAGGAACACCGGUGGCGAAGGCGGAUCUCUGGGCCGAUACUGACGCUGAGGAGCGAAAGCGUGGGGAGCGAACAGGAUUAGAUACCCUGGUAGUCCCCGCCGUAAACGGUGGGCACUAGGUGUGGGCAACAUUGCCACGUCGUCCGGGCCGCAGCUAACGCAUUAAGACUCCUCGUG
RNAcentral lists this ribosomal RNA (528 nucleotides) under Streptomyces thermosacchari. RNAcentral describes it as "bacterial SSU rRNA". It matches the Rfam family "Bacterial small subunit ribosomal RNA", at positions 335 to 875 of the family's 1533-position model. The record is from RNAcentral. Lineage: Bacteria; Bacillati; Actinomycetota; Actinomycetes; Kitasatosporales; Streptomycetaceae.